RNAcentral lists this ribosomal RNA (262 nucleotides) under uncultured bacterium. RNAcentral's name for it is "partial 16S ribosomal RNA". It matches the Rfam family "Bacterial small subunit ribosomal RNA", at positions 793 to 1055 of the family's 1533-position model. The record is from RNAcentral.
GUCCACGCCCUAAACGAUGUCAACUGGUUGUUGAGAGGGUUCCUUCUCAGUAACGUAGCUAACGCGUGAAGUUGACCGCCUGGGGAGUACGGCCGCAAGGUUGAAACUCAAAGGAAUUGACGGGACCCGCACAAGCGGUGGAUGAUGUGGUUUAAUUCGACGCAACGCGAAAAACCUUACCUACCCUUGACAUGCCUGGAAUCCUGCAGAGAUGUAGGGUGCUCGAAAGAGAACCAGGACACAGGUGCUGCAUGGCCGUCGU